RNAcentral lists this ribosomal RNA (253 nucleotides) under uncultured bacterium. RNAcentral's name for it is "partial 16S ribosomal RNA". It matches the Rfam family "Bacterial small subunit ribosomal RNA", at positions 524 to 776 of the family's 1533-position model. The record is from RNAcentral.
UACGUAGGGUGCAAGCGUUGUCCGGAAUUAUUGGGCGUAAAGAGCUCGUAGGCGGUUUGUCGCGUCUGCUGUGAAAACUCGGGGCUUAACUCCGGGCCUGCAGUGGGUACGGGCAGACUAGAGUGCGGUAGGGGAGACUGGAAUUCUUGGUGUAGCAGUGAAAUGCGUAGAUAUCAAGAGGAACACCAGUGGCGAAGGCGAGUCCCUGGACAACACCUGACACUGAGGCACGAAAGCCGGGGGAGCAAACAGG